RNAcentral lists this ribosomal RNA (117 nucleotides) under Erinaceus europaeus (western European hedgehog). Lineage: Eukaryota; Metazoa; Chordata; Mammalia; Eulipotyphla; Erinaceidae. The record is from RNAcentral.
AUCUACGGCCAUACCACCCUCAACACUCCUGAUCUCCUCUGAUCUUGGAAGCUAAGCAGGGUUGGGCCUGGUUAGUGCUUGGAUGGGAAAAUAUAUAACUACAAUGAACUGUUUCCC